AUUGAACGCUGGCGGCAGGCUUAACACAUGCAAGUCGAGCGAGCGGCGGACGGGUGAGUAAUGUAUGGGGAACUGCCUGAUGGAGGGGGAUAACUACUGGAAACGGUAGCUAAUACCGCAUACCAUCAGAUGUGCCCAUAUGGGAUUAGCUAGUAGGUAGGGUAACGGCUUACCUAGGCGACGAUCCCUAGCUGGUCUGAGAGGAUGAUCAGCCACACUGGAAUUGAGACACGGCCCAGACUCCUACGGGAGGCAGCAGUGGGGAAUAGUGAAAAAUGGGCGCAAGCCUGAUGCAGCCAUGCCGCGUGUAUGAAGAAGGCCUUCGGGUUGUAAAGCACUUUCAGUCGGGAGGCGUUACCGACAGAAGAAGCACCGGAUAACUCCGUGACAGCAGCCGCGGUAAUAC
RNAcentral lists this ribosomal RNA (406 nucleotides) under uncultured bacterium. RNAcentral's name for it is "partial 16S ribosomal RNA". It matches the Rfam family "Bacterial small subunit ribosomal RNA", at positions 30 to 526 of the family's 1533-position model. The record is from RNAcentral.